This 407-nucleotide ribosomal RNA is filed under the name uncultured bacterium. RNAcentral's name for it is "partial 16S ribosomal RNA". It matches the Rfam family "Bacterial small subunit ribosomal RNA", at positions 29 to 526 of the family's 1533-position model. The record is from RNAcentral.
AACGAACGCUAGCGGGAUGCUUUACACAUGCAAGUCGAACGGAGAGGCGGACGGGUGAGUAAUAUACCGGAACGUGCCUAGUCUCGGCGGCUAACUACUCGAAAGAGUGGCUACUACUGCACACUAGUGGAGCGGGCGUUAGCGGUUUAGCUAGUUGGUGGGGUAAAGGCUCACCAAGGGAACGAUCCGUAGCUGGUUUGAGAGGACGACCAGCCACACUGGGACUGAGACACGGCCCAGACUCCUACGGGAGGCAGCAGUGGGGAAUUUUGGGCAAUGGGGGAAACCCUGACCCAGCCAUCCCGCGUGUAUGAUGAAGGCCUUCGGGUUGUAAAGUACUUUUGGCAGAGAAGCGGUAUCUGCAGAAUAAGCACCGGCUAACUACGUGCCAGCAGCCGCGGUAAUAC